RNAcentral lists this long non-coding RNA (29916 nucleotides) under Eucalyptus grandis. Its description in RNAcentral is "long non-coding RNA (EGRA_LNC002127)". The record is from RNAcentral. Lineage: Eukaryota; Viridiplantae; Streptophyta; Magnoliopsida; Myrtales; Myrtaceae.
AUGAAGCCGUGAAUUAUGUGGUUUUUUGAGAUAGAGGUGAGGGUAUGGUGGACAUUUGGGUUGUUGAGGCGGAGGAGCUCGAAGGCGAGGGUCUCGUGGUGGGGGGAGGUGGUGGAGAAAUCUGGAGGGAGGGUGGUUGCAGGGAAGAAGUGGAAGACGAUGGAGGGGGCGGUGGCGGAGACAGAGGUGAUGUAGGCGGUGGCGGAGCCGGCGUCGUAAGCUUGGUUGGUGAUGAGGAUGUGAAUGGAGAGGGAAGGGCGGUAGGUGAGGAGGAGCUUGCCGAGCUCCACCAUGGAGAUGAGGUGGCCGAUGGCCGGUGACGGAUACAGCACGACUGCUUCUUUCAUUACUUGGGCCUGUUGUUGUUCCUUGAGCGACAUUGACAGUUUUCUCUGUAAUGACACAAACAGAGAAGGAGCAAAUGAAUUAGAGUGGUUCAGUCGGCCAAGGAGAGAGCCACUGGAAGACUACGCUAAUGAUGGGAAACUCACAAUUCUUCUUAUCUAUUAAACUAGUGGUUCUUAUUUUUCCAACGCUCCCCUCCAAGCUAGGGAUUUUAUUAUCUUUAAAUGGCCGACAAAAAUGGCCGACAAAAUUGUCCAACGCUCCCCUCCUUUGGGUAUCCUUCUUUGCCAAGAAUUCCACUUUGCCAACAUCAUGCUUUGAAACUCCAUUUUUCAUUAGAACGUGUCCAGGCGAUUUAAAUGUAGGAUCAUCAGCCUAAAUUGCAGCUUCCAUCAUUUUCCUGAAGGUUCCUACCAUGUCCUUAACUCUUCAUCUAGCGUGUAGAGUCCUAGCACAUUAUUAUAACUUAACUGAUCUGUUAGAAGUCCUAAUUCUCUCAUCUGAUUUGCAAUUUGUAGGGCCUUAUCUGCUAGGGCCUCAUCUAAUUUAACAUCAUUGCAUAUGUGAGCUCAUUGGCAUCCCCCUUGUGCUUCACUCUGGCAAAGAUCUGUUCCGCUUGUUCAACCAUAGAUCUCUCACUGUACAGAUCAAUCAUACAAUGCGAUGAGAAAACAUCAGGACCUAACUCUGACAACUGAAGCAUUCUGUAUGUUUCUUCUGCUUCUUUUAAAUAAACCGACUUUGUUAUAGAGUUUGAUCAGAGAGAGUCGUAUCUUCCAUUAUUUCCAGUCAAGCCUGCUUCUUCAUAGUGGUGACAUAACCAUGAGCUUCCUGAACACUUCCGGCAUCAGCACAAGCAUUUAUUAGUACACCAUACACAACAACAUCAGGUAGUAUAUUACACUAAAUCAUCUCCCUGUAAAGUCCCUCUGCCAUUUCUAACUGCCCUCAAAGCACAAUAGGGAAUGCAAUCUUUUACUAAACCCAUCUCCUACACCUUCCUCAAAUAGGGCAAUGCUCUGUAUGGAAAAUCAGCACCAGCUAAGAUUUGUAUAAUGGAACUGUAGCUACAUUUGUCGGGAGAUAUCCCUUGGCCUUCCAUGCUAUCAAAAAUGUGACAUGCUUUAUUGUAAUUAUUUGUUAUCCCAUAAGCUUUAAUUACCACAUUGUACUCAAGAACCGUCUGCCUUUGCUUUUGGCAGCAAAGGAAAACUCUCUCAGCCUCAGAAUUAUAACCACGCUCUCCAUAUGCAUCAAUAUUGGCUGAACAACACUUAAAACUCAUAUUCCCUUCAAGAUGAAAACUCCCGAACCAUUACCAUGAUUUUUUUAGCAUCCCAGCUUCUAUGUACAUUCUAAGAAGUGCUGAUUGUGUGUAUUCAUCAAUCACCAGAUCCCUUUCAUCCAUUUCACACAAAAGUUCUUCAGCUUCAUGAACCAUUCGCCUUAUGGAAUAUGCAUAUGGAAGAGUGCGAUAACUCACCAGGUCUGGUUUAAGGCAGGCAUCUAUCAUCAUUCUAAAGUGAGCUCCAGCCACUCUUAACUUUGUCGUGCUUAGUAUAAAUGGAAAUCAGUAUAUUAUAAGUUCUUGUAUCUAGCGCUCAACCGAGCUCCUCCAUCUUCUGCAUCAGCAUAUCUACUUCUUUUGACUGGCCAUUUUUACCAUUCAUGUGGAUCACUGGGUUAUAAAUAAAUGUAGUAGGUAUUAUCCCUUCUUUAAGCAUCUGCAAGAAUGUUGCAGAUGCUUCUUGAAGUUCUCUAGCUUUACCAUUAUUAUCAAUCAACAUGUUAUAUGUAUGUGAACUUAAACAUUCUCUCGAGACGAAAAUGGAACUUUAAUUUCCCUCCUUGUCCCAUCGACUCUCAGCUUGAGUGAUUCACCUACAAACCAUCUUCUGAAGAAGUCCUCAGCCUCGUGAAACUGUCCACCCUUCUUGUACAUUUGGAUGACAGUCCCCAUUGUCACCUCGUCAGGUUCAAUCCCUUGCUUGCUCAUUCUUCCAAGCCAAACGAGUGCCACUUCUCUCCGUCCACCUUUGCUGUAAACAUCAAUAAGUGCUCUAUAAGACGAGCUGAUUGGGACGAUCCCUUUGUCAUUCAUCUCAUCCCACAAAUGCUCUAUAUGCCACCACUGAUACGCCUUCCCCAUAAUCUUGAGCAUGAUGUUAUAAUGAAUUACAUUCAACUCAAAACAACCUUCUACUUGAAGUUAUGUUUUGGUCGACUAAAAAAAGACGAGACUAGAAUAAUAUUUAUGAACCUAUAUAUAUAAAGGAAUAGAUGUGAUUCAAAAUUGAUUAUUUAGAGAAAAAAAAACUGGCUAAUCACACAAUCUAAAGUUCCAAAAAUCCGAAUAAUGGCCAUUUUCCGUGGAUGAAGCAGUGUUCCGUGUUCAGCCAUGUCACGGCUCGCCCCUUUUCUAACAGUGACGUGCCGUCUACUUCCAAAUGGAGUCAAAGAAGACAGUGAUCUUUGGGGUGGACAGGUGGGCCCACCUAAGUUACGAGUAGCCCGGAUUAAAUGGUUUCGGGCCCAUUGUCAGAAAAUUUUUAACCCCCCUGGCCAAUAUAUAUAUAUUUACACCCGCAUACAUAGCGGUAGUUUACAUUUUUUUUCGGUAGUUUAUAUUUAAUAGUGUUAUGUUAUAACUGGGAUAUAAAGUUCUGGAUUUAUUAUUCAUAUAUUAUAACGCUUAGCUGAAACGAAGUGACGGUCAAAUAUGGGUCACAAAGUUUUUUGUGAAAACCUGUGACUUUCUCAACUAAUUUCAUUUUUACUCUAUUUUUUGUUUUUUUUUAGAUUUGUUUAAUUCUUUAUUGUUGCAAGCUCAAAUUGAGAAACAAAUUAAAGUAAUAAUAUUCAUGCAAUAAGAAACAAAUCCUCUUCAAAUGAUAAGAAAUAUAUGAAAAACUCAAUUGCAACUUUUAAAAUAGUGGAUAUUAUUUUUUGGCCAAAGAAAAAUAUUAUCUUAAUCACUAUAGAAAGGAAUGUAAUUAUCUUGUCCUUCUUCUUCUUUUUUGCAAAAUGUGUAAUUAUCUUGCACGCUUUGAAUUUUCAAUUUUUUUUAUAAGGAUUUUGUAAUUGAAUGAUUCAUAACUGCGGAGAAAGGUUGGUUAAUCUCUACUUUUCUUAUUGCAAGAAAGUAAGAGGUACUCAUUGUUAUUGAAUUUUAGUUAAUCUCUACUUUUCUUAUGCAUAAUUGAUAACAUUGGUCUUAAUUUUAGAUUAACCUUUUGGAGCAAUUUGAUUUGGGCAAAAGGACUGAGAAGUCAAUUCAUUGCAUGGUGAUUUUGUUACUAGUUCCGUUUACAAAUUUUCAAGUGUUUUUCAUCUUUUAAAUUUGAUAGAUCUUUGAUCAAAUUUUUUUUUGAUAGAUAUAUAUGAUAACAUUAAUGAUUUUUUUUAGUAGAUAAUAAUAUCUUUUACUUGUAACUAUUUAUAUUUCGAAAUCUAAUUUAUUUUUUCUUGCAUCAUAGUUAAGAGAAUUGAUUGCGCGGGCCCUCUUAUAAUUUUGUUUCUCAAUUUGGGCUUGCUAUAAGGAAAUUAAAAAAAGAAAAGAAAAAAGAAAACAGAUUAAAAAAUGAAAUUCCUCAAAAGUUGUUUGUGGUCUACGUUUGACCGUCAUUUCGCGAAUGACCCAUUUUUAUAGGGACGAGUGUAAAAAAAAAUCUAAACCUAUUGCAUAAGUACCAAUAUAAUCCUAAAUAUUUUAAUGAUAUCAAUUUAGUUCUAAACUUUUUAAUAGUAUCAAUUAAGUCUUAAACAUUUUAAACUAGUGCUAAUUUAGUUCUGAAUGUUUUAACUUUGUGUCAAUUUAGUCAUUUCAACUAAUUUUGAUUAAAUAUUGUCAAUGUAGAUGCUAGCCCGCUUACAUGACACCGCCCGGUACUGAUGUGGGUAAUUUUUAAUAAUAUUUUAAUAAAUUUUGAUUUUUUUAUUAUUUUUUUGAUUUUUUCUUUCUUUUUUCUCCCCUCACCCAAGUCAAGGAGUCCUUGCUAAGCGUUGCUAGAUUUGACGAGGGGAGCCCUCACCAAAAUUGCCCUCGCCCAAGCAAGGGUCAACCUCACCCAAGUUAGAUCCAACGAGGCCAACUUUCAUCGGGGCUUAGCCUUGCCAUGGCUAGGCGAGGCCAGCCCACCUGGCCGUGGCGAGUGGGCAGCCCUUACUUGUGGUCAGUGGCUAGUCACCAACACAAUGAAGAAGAAUAAAAAGAAGAAAGGAGAAGGAAAAAAAAAUGAAAGAAAAAAAAAUAAAAACAAAAUAAUUAUUAAAAUUGCUCAAGUUAGUACCACUAGUACCAUGUAAGCGAAUUGGUAUCUACGUCAAUAAUAUCUAACCAAAAUUAGUCAGAAUAACUUAAUUAGUACCGAGUCAAAACAUUUAAAUCUAAAUUAGUAUUAAUUUAAAAAGUUUAGAAUUCAAUUGACACCAUCAAAAGAUUUAUAAUUAAAUUAGCAACGCGUAAUAAAUUUAAGAUUUUUUUGACAUUUUUCCAUUUUUAUGUAUCUUGAAACCGUAGUACUUUACAGUUGAUUGGGAGAACGUCGGGCUAUUUUUUUUUUUCCAAAGGUGCAGUUGAUUGGUGUCUACAAAACCACCCGAAAAUGGCCAUGGUAGCACAUCAAGAGAGAAGAACCGUCCAAGUACAAUUCAGGAGAGAUAUAAUUUCACCCAUAAAAGAAAGGAUUUUAUUUGCAUGGGGGAGAAUCAAAGCACAAUCUCCAAGAUGAUAUUCCACCAUCGCACGUCAUUCUGAUUGACAUUUAGGGAACAAGAAAAAUUGAUCAAGCACGUGCGACCUUAAGGGUGGGCACGUCAAUUCGCCGAUCAUAUGCUGCAAAACCUAAAGGACGACUAGAAAGAAAGACUCAUCGAAAGACGAUUGAUGACGGACGACAGCCUACAAAGUCCAGCGCAUUUCACUCGCGCUUCCACGAUUCAAUGAGUUUGGCCAACGCCAACCGAGAUGACCCACCGGGGCUCAGCGCAGCCUCAGCUUCUUCCUUCAUGGCAAGCACUCGCUCUCUCACGGUCUCGCCCUCCUCCCUCUCCAUCAACUCUCCGACUCGCUUCUCCACUUCCUCCGAACUCACCAGCCCGUCCUCUGACUCGUCCACCGGCAGGGCGAUUUUCAUCUCCUGCACCAGCACCACCUUGUUGUGCCCCUGCUCCGCGUACAGUGGCCACGCCAGCAUCGGCACGCCGGCGCGCACAGCCUCAAGCACCGAGUUCCACCCGCAGUGAGUCACGAACCCGCCCACCGAGGGGUGGCUCAACACCGCCACCUGCGGGGCCCAUUUCUUGACCACGAGCCCCCUCUCUUUGGUACGUUCCAAAAAGCCCUCCGGAAGCAGGGAGCCCAAGUCCAGGUCGGCCACCGUCGACGACGUAGCGGCCUUUUGGUUCUUGUCAUUUGUCGGGUCACGGACCACCCACAAGAACCGGUGACCGCUCCUCUCCAGCCCCAACGCUAUUUCCUUCAGUUGUUCCACCGUGAACACGCCCAAGCUCCCGAAACACAGGAACACAACGCUCCCUCUAGGCUGCGAGUCCAGCCACGUCAGAGACUCUGGCGAUCUGCCAUCGUCGUGUCUGCCGCUAGAGGUCAGUGGUCCGAUGCAAUAAAGUGGCGGAGUGGACCCGUUGGGCACACAUUCGCCGUCCACGAUGGCUCGUAUAGCUCUUGGCUCGAGCUUCUCGAAGGUGUUGACUAUAAUCCCGGUCGAAGUCUGCAUCUUCAGAGAUGAAUCCAAGAAGCCCUUGUAGGCCUCGUCGUAGCGAUCUUGCAAUGGUUUGAUAACAUCGGAGGGCAGUAUUGACGGUGUGCCGGGGACAUCGAUGGGGGCAUCGAAGUCUUUAAUGCUUUUGUCAAACUUGUCGUGAAGAGUUGGGGUGUAGAGUAAGAAGUUGAGGAAACAGGCGCCGGAAGUGAAGAAAUAGUAGCAGGGGAUCUUGAGCUCACGCGCAACGUCGACGGCGGGGGCGCAGAAGAAGUCGAUGAUGAAGCCGUGAAUUAUGUGGUUUUUUGAGAUAGAGGUGAGGGUAUGGUGGACAUUUGGGUUGUUGAGGCGGAGGAGCUCGAAGGCGAGGGUCUCGUGGUGGGGGGAGGCGGUGGAGAAAUCUGGAGGAAGGGUGGUUGCAGGGAAGAAGUGGAAGACGAUGGAGGGGGCGGUGGCGGAGACAGAGGUGAUGUAGGCGGUGGUGGAGCCGGCGUCGUAAGCUUGGUUGGUGAUGAGGAUGUGAAUGGAGAGGGAAGGGCGGUAGGUGAGGAGGAGCUUGCCGAGUUCCACCAUGGAGAUGAGGUGGCCGAUGGCCGGUGACGGAUACAGCACGAGUGCUUCUUUCAUUAUUUGGGCCUGUUGUUGUUCCUUGAGCGACAUUGACAGUUUUCUACGUAAUGACACACACAGAGAAGGAGCAAAUGAAUUAGAGUGGUUCAGUCGGCCAAGGAGAGAGCCACUGGAAGACUACGCUAAUGAUGGGAAACUCACAAUUCUUCGUAUCACAUUGGGGGUAUUUCAUUAUAUUUAAAUAAGAUGGAAUACUUAUUUAGGGAUGUACAUGAAUAUCAGAUAUAAUUUUUUAUUUCCUUAUUAGCCAGAUCUGCUAUUAAAUUUGGACUCCAUUAACUAGCGGUUAUUAUUUUUCCAAAACUCCCCUCCAAGCUAGGGAUUUUAUUAUCUUUAAAUAGCUGAAAUUUUUUAUUGAAAAUUCCUGUUUGUAAGGUCAAAGCAUGGGCCCAAUAUUGUUUAAAUCUGGAUCCUUGAAAAUGUUCAUCUUACAAAAUGUGAUAGUUUAAAUUCAUUUUGAUAUAUGUACUAGAUUUAUGGAAUAUCUGUUCUAAAAUAUGAUCACUUAAGUGCCAUUUAAAAAAAAAAAAAAAGAUCACUUAUAUGCCGACUUUGAUGAGGAUCCGUGGAAAUUCGACAUGGCCAUGUCUUAUUAAUGUAUUAAUCUAAUGUGGCUUGUUAGUGUGUCUAGUCAAUAUAUAAACUUUAAAUGACAUCAUUUAUAAUAUUUACCCCAAUUAAAAACCAUAAAUUAGUAAAUUGACGCAAUUUCCAAUGUUGAACCCUAACAACCAUUCAAACCAAAAUCCAAACCCUAACUCGAUUUGCCACAAACAACUCAAUCUUGCAAAUGGAGUGUAGAAGCUUAUGAGCCUUGCAUCAAGUAUAGUAAAGGCUCAAAGUGCAAAUAUUUCAAAUGGGUUGAUGCCAAAUUCUAAGGUCAAGUGACAAAGGUUAUCUUGGAGUGAAGAAGGAAGUUUCAAGGCUAAAAAGGGGAGAAAAAAAAGGUGUUAUUGAAUGGUGAUUGCAUUGUUAUGUUGUUUGACCUAUCUUAUCCUCAAAUGUAGAGUAAGCAAUGAGAAAAAAUUUCUCAGUCCACCAUAGUUGAAAACUUGUGGAAUAUGUAAUUGUAUUAGGGUAAUCUGUAAAUUUAAUUAUGUUACUGGCUUGCUAAAAUUUUUGUUGGAAAGCAAACCCAUAUGCGUUAUAAGUGGAAAUGCGAUUACAAUUCAAUUAAUGAUGGGUUGUGUACCAUGCGAUGCAAUUGAUCUUCAUUGCUGUAAUUUUUGGUCAUUUGUUGGAAAUAUGAUUGAAAUUCAAUCCUUGUAAAAUUAACAAUUUCUCUUACUUAGUUGUGUAUGUUAAUUCUUGUAUAAUUUGUUAGUCUGCUUUAAUAUUUGUUGCAAACGCUAGUAAAGUUAGCAAGUGGUAACAAGUUUGUGAGUGAUUAGUUGAAUGCCAAAAGUUAUGAAUAAUGAUUGUUUGAAUGCCAAUUUUUGUUUAAAAUGAUUAGUUCAAUGCUAGUUAUUGCUGAAAAGCGAUCUCUUCGAUGCCAAGCACACACCGGCACAAAGAAGUGCUGGUGUAGUUUGUUACUUACACUAGUUGCACAAACACGUGCUAGUGUAAUCACAUACCAACAACACUAGUAGUCCCAAAAUAAACUUGCACUAGUAGCACAAGACCAAGCAAGCCAAAAGCAAGAUGAAAAAUGGACAUUGGCAAAAUAAUAGACAAAACUAGCAAGAUUAAUUGGCUAGUGCAAUCUUGCCGCGACCAAAAUUCCGAGUGAACCACCUACGAUUUGGCUAAUGGAUUACUAAGCCUAAACUUAGCUCGAGCAUUCAAAUCUGCAGGAAAGUUCUGUCACUAUAAAAAAAGGGGGAGAUUGUUGGAGAAAACUCUAUUAUUUUGAAGUUGACAAAACGUUUCCAUCAGUCUAGUCUAAAGACUUCAAGACUCAUUUAUUAAAAUUUGAUGAACUCCAGACUCUGUCGACAAAGUCUGAAGACUGCAAGACUCAAGACUUAAAGUCUACCCUCACUGGCAGUUUCUUGACCAACGAAGAGAAGACUUAUCUAGAUGCGAGUUUAUCUUUAAGGAUUCGGUUCGUACGGUUUAAAGAAGAUCUUAUGGCUGGAGAUAGCACCUUAUGAUCAAUUAUUCUUAUUGGAAUCAAUUUGGAUAAUCAAGAUCUUUUGAAAGGCAAAGUAUACUUUGAAGGUUCUACUUAUGAAAACCUAGAUCCUGAUUGUAUGGGCGAGCAGGAUUUGUGGGCUAUCAUCACAUUCCUUAAAUGACUUGAGAUUUCCUUGAUUGAUUCUAUCCAACAGGUAGAUUAGAAAAAAAUCAUUUGGAAAGUGCCAACGGAUAUAGAGGCAUGAAGGAGUAUAUAAGGAAGACGCUUAAGUUGUUCGAGUGUUUGCGUAAAAGAAAAAUUUCAAAGUCUGAAGCUCUUAGUUCUUUGCUUUCUCAAUUGCUGAGCUUAAGUUGUACUCAAAAGAGAGAUUAAAUACUUGUGAGACCUUGAGGAAGUAUAGUAUGUCUCUACACCGUGGAAUCAAGGAGGUGAGACUGUAAAAAUCUCUUUUGGUUCAUAGUAAAAUCCAGCCGGUGCACUGUUAGUGCGGGAGAGUAGACCUAGGCUUGGUUUAAACUGAACCACUAUAAAAUUUGUGUUUCAAUUCUCUUUCCCUAUACUCCUUGCUUUAAUUCAUAGCUUUAUCUAACUGCUUAUAGUCUUUUACAUAUUCAAUCUGUUAUUCUUGAAAGACGAGUUAACUUGUUGAAAGUCUAGCGAAAAUUUGCUAGAACACUUAUUCAUCCCCCUCUAAGUGUCCUUACUAGCCCUAUCAAUUGGUAUCAGAGCUUGCAUGCUCAUUUAGUUGAAGUAUUUUUACUUCUGAGUUAAAGAUCUAUGGCUAGUAUGUUGGCUCCAAGUUUAAUUGAAGGUCAAUGUAACACUAGACCUCCUUACUUUGAUGGAAAAUAAUACAGCAUAUGGAAAAACAAGAUGAAGGCAUUCUUAAGAUCAAAAGAUCCUCUAGAAUGGGAUGUGAUAGAAAAAUGAAUCACACCUAAAACUGCAUCAGUUUCAAAAAGAGGAAAAGAAGUUGCAGAAGCUAGCGACAUAACACAAGAAGAAAUAACUAAGAGACAAGCUGUUGAUGCUAAAGCAAUUUACUCUUUAUAUUGUGCUUUAUCUCCUACUGAAUAUAACAGAAAUUCUUCUUGGGAAACAGCCAAAGAAGUCUGGGAUAGGCUGCACAUUACCUAUGAAGGCACUGAUCGAGUGAAAGAAACAAUAAUCAAUAUUUUACUCGAACAGUGUGAAGCCUUCAAGAUGAAGCAAUGAGAAUCUAUCAUUGAUAUGUUUAGUCAUUUUACAGAGAUUGUAAAUGGUCUGGAGUAUCAAUGUCAGCCAAUCUCAGGAUCAAUGAAGGUUAACAAAUUGCUGCAUGGACUCUCCAAAGACUGGAAUCACGUGAAGACUUCAAUAAGGAAUAUCAAAGGAUCAUGCCGCUUUCUGUAAACAAACUGGUUGGCACACUUCAGUCUUAUAAAGUGGAGCAAAUCAACGAGGAAGAAAAUCCCAAGGGUAAGAAGUUAGUUACUUUAAAAUCUAAUGAUGACUCUGAUAUUACAGACUCUGAAGAUGAUAUGGACGAUGAAGAAUUAUCACUUAUGAUAAGGAGGUUCAAGAAACUGAACAAAAAGGGAAGAUAAUUCAAUUAGAAGAAACAAAACACUCAAAAGAUUCAAAACAAAUCAACUGAGGAUGAUGAAGCAAACAAAGACGCAAUCUGUUUUGAAUGCAAGAAAAAUGGACACAUGAUACCCAACUAUCCUCUGUUGAAGAAAAAUAAGGGAAAAGCUGAGAAAUAUAGAAAUGCUCUCAAAGUAAAGACAUGGAGUGAUACCGAAUGUGAAGAAAGUAACGAAGAUUAUGCCAAUAUAUGUCUAAUGGCAAAAUCAAGAUUAGACUUAAACUCUGAGACAUAUUUAGAUUCAGACUCAUACAGUGAAAUCGAGGUCACUAUCAAGAAAAAUAUUAAAUGGUAUUUAGAUAGUGGCUGUUUGAGAUACAUGAUUGGAGAUUCAAGUUGUUUUAUAAAAAUUGUGCAAAUAAAUGGUGGAAAAGUCUCUUUCAGUCGAAACAACAAAUGAAAAAUUGUUGGGUGUGAAACUAUAAAAAUUGGAAGUCUCACAAUCAACAAUGUCUCCUUGGUAGAAGGACUAAAUUACAAUCUAUUGUGCAAUACUAGAUUCAAAAUCGACUUCUAAGAAGGAAUAUGUUUGGGAACUAGUAAAUAUCUUUCUCAAUUUUUACUGGAUGAAGACAUGGGAACAUUUAUCUUCUGGAUAUAAAACCAGAAAGAUCUCAAUGUCUAAUAUCGAUUCAAGAUGAAGCAAAUUUUUGGCAUCGAAAGCUUUGCCAUGUUAACAUGAAGCAAAUUGCCAAGAUCUCAUCCAAAAAUCUUGUUCGUGGACUGCCCAACCUGAAGUAUUAAAAGUUUGACUUAUGCACACCAUGUGUGUUGGGAAAACAGGUUAGAAGCUCUUUUAAACCAAAAAAUCAUAUUUCUACUAAUCGUGUUCUGCAGCUUCUGCAUAUGGAUCUCUUUGAACCAACUAAAACUCAAAGCAUUGGUGGAAAGAGAUAUUGCUUGGUAAUUGUGGAUGAUUAUUCAAGAUUUACUUGGGUUUUACUUUCUGACAAAAUCAAUUGAUUCAGACUUAACCUGAAGAUUCUGAACCUACUCUAGACUUUACAAAGUCUACCACAAAGUCUACCUCCCCUAAAGUAGCUCAGACUUCUGAAGAUCAACAACAAACGAAAUGAUCAACUAAAUUAGAAGAUCAACAAACUGUCAGACCAACCAGUAACUGGAAGCAUAAGUCUAGUCAUCCAAAAGAACUCAUCAUUGACAACAUUGAUGAAGGGAUUUGCACCAGAUCCAAAAGGCAAGAAGAGUCUAGUGCUUUGGCACUUAUUUUUGAAAUAGAGCCCAAAAGCAUAGAAGAUGCCUUAGUUGACGAAAGCUAGAUUGAAGCUAUGCAAGAAUAACUCAAAUAGUUUAACAUCAACGAUGUCUGGGAAUUAACUCAUAAACCAAAAGGUAAAUCCAUUAUUGGAGCUAAAUGGAUUUUCAGGAACAAGAUGGACAAAAAAGGAAAAGUGGUUUGAAACAAAGCAAGACUCGUGGUCAAAGGAUAUACGUAAGAAGAAGGGAUAGACUAUGAUGAGACUUACGUACUAGUAGCAAUGUUAGAAGCAAUUAGAUUAUUAUUCGCUUUUGCUUGCUAUAAAAAUUUCAAGUUAAUCCAAAUGGACGUCAAAAGCGCAUUUUUAAAUGGAUUUAUCCAAGAAGAAGUCUAUGUGGAACAAUCUCCUAGAUUUGAAGAUCCAAAGAGACCAGACUCAGUAUUCAGACUGAAGAAUGCUCUAUAUGGAUUAAAACAAGCACCUCAAGCUUGGUACGACAGGUUAAGUAAGUUUCUAAUCAUAAUGGUUUUGUUAAAGGUAAAGUGGAUACUACUUUAUUUAUUAAAAGAGAAGGUAAAGAUUUUCUACUCGUUCAAAUCUAUGUUGAUAAUAUCAUAUUUGGAUCACCUAACGAAAACCUGUGCAAGAAGUUUUCUGAGUCUAUGCAGGAUGAAUUUGAGAUGAGCAUGAUGGGCGAUUUGAAGACCUAUUGAUUUUAACAACUGAUUGCAGAGUUGAUCAUUCGGACCUUUCAAUUCAUAGACUACUUGUUACAAAUAACAUCUUGUUGUUGCAUCGAAACAUAUAAAUGUUGACUAAUCUGGAUUAUCGAGCAAGAUUUGAUAGGUAAUAGUCAACAAAUUGGAAUUCAUUUAGCGCCUCCCGAUUGUAUUUCACUUGAGAUGAAAGAAAAGAUAGUCUUUUCUUUAUUAUGAAGAAAAGACUUUUUCGAAGAUUCUAUAUCAGUUUCUCUAUGAAACCGAGACCUUCAAGUACGGCUACUUUGUUAUGACUUCACUCUAGUCACUAGCCCUGCCUUUGGCAUCCCCCUCGAUAAGAGAGAAAUCUUGUAUCAGACUACUUGUCUUCUUGUAGUUGGAUCUCCAAGUUUUUGGAAUGCUCCAUUUGUGUAUUGAUAAGACCAUUCACUAUUUCUUGAAGCUCGAUCUCUUCAACGUCUCGAGAUUCAGGCGAUUGCAGAUGAUAUAACUAGUAAAUAUGUUCCUUCUCAUGUCAACAUAUUUUAUUGUCUAAGAGGAAUUACGGGUGAACUAUCUUUCUUUCUCGGAUUACAAGUAAAGCAAUUAAAGGAAUGAAUUUUCAUUCACCGAGAAAAAUAUGCAAAAGAUCUCGUCAAAAAGUUCGGAUUGGAGAAUGGCAAAAAGACUGAAAUAUCAAUGUCAAGUUCUUCGAAGCUGGACAAAAACGAAGGAGGAAAGAAAGUUGACCAAAAGCUAUACAGGAGCAUUAUUGGUUCACUUCUUUAUCUUAUUGCUUCUAGACCUGACAUUUUGUUUAGUGUUUGCAUUUGUGCUAGAUUUCAAUAUGAUCCCAAAGAAUCUCAUCUGAGUACUGCAAAACGCAUCAUCAAAUACAUUGCAACUACUUCAAAUUUAGGUCUGUGGUAUCCCGAAGAAGGAGACUUUACUCUCAUUGGAUAUUCAGACGCAGAUUUAGUAGGUUGCAGAGUUGAUAGAAAGAGUACCUCCGAUACAUGUCAAUUGUUGGGAAACAGGACAAUAUCUUGGUUUUCAAGGAAGCAAAGCACUAUAGCUCUUUCAACAACAGAAGCAAAGUAUGUGGCUCUUGAAAGUUACUGUUCUCAAAUCUUAUGGAUAAAACAACAAUUGAGAGAUUUUGGAAUCGAAGACUUGUGUACUAAGAUCAAAUGUGACAACACCAACACAAUCAAUCUUACAAAGAAUCCAAUUCUUCAUUUAAGAGCAAAGAACAUAGAGAUUCGACAUCAUUUCAUUAGAGAUCAUGUUCAGAAUGGAGAAGUUAUGAAAGAAUCAACUAGCAUACAUAUUUAUAAAGCAUCUGGAGAAAAGCCUAUUUGGGUCUAUUCACACCAGACUGAAUAUCACAACUUUUAUCCAAUAAAGUCUGAAUAUGCUUAGACUCAAAGGUAAAGUCUGAAGUUAUUCAGACUCAGAAUAACUAAAAGUUACGGCUAUAAGUUAUUUCAAUUUCAGCAUUUUAAAUUUUUAAAAGGGUACGGUUACUCUUUAAUUGCUAAUUGAUUGUUAUAUUUUUAGAAAUGAUCUUUUCCGAGCCUUUGAAUUUAUGGCAAUUUUUCUUUUUUAAAAAGGCAGUUAUUCAUUUUCAAAAAGACAGUUUUAUUUAUUCCUUUAUAACAAUUCGUAUACCUCGUUUUGUUCGCUUUAUAUACUGUUGUUUUUCUUCUUCGUUUUCAUUCACAAACCCUAGAUCAUAGAGCCUCUCUUUCUCACUCUUUCUCACUAGUUUAAUCCAUAAAGUUCUCAUCUUUUUCGCAAAUUCGAGAGAUCUCUCAAAGACUGUGACAAUGUCUUCCCAAAGGAAGUCCUCUAGGAUCACAAGCAGGGGACCACAGCAUAUGCGUGAGGGUCCUACGCACUUUGAUCUAACCGAGGAAGAAGACUCUCCAAGGCAUCAGCAAAGUCAACAACAUUUUCAACUGCGCCAUUCUUCUCAGGCUAGAGCUCAAGUGCCUUCGCAACAACAAGCAGAAGAAAAGGAUCAUGGUGAUUCUCAUGCAGAGGAAGAAGGACAAGAUCUUUGUGAAGAAGAGCAAGAGUAAGAAGAGUACUUUUCUCCACUUGAAGACAUUGAAACAUGGGGAGCUGCUGAUAAAAGAGGUACUUCUUCACUUGCUUUUACUAGUGAUAAUGUUAGUUGUUCUCCUGCCAAUCUAGAAGAUGUUUAUGCCUCUCAAUUUCUUGAAGAUCGUAAUGAGGCUUCAUCUCCAAGUUUGAAUGUACAUGCUGAAGUUCCAUCAUCAGUUAAUACUCCACAAUCUGAUCGUGCUGAAGCAAGUACUCAAACUGACAAUACAGUAGACUUUAAAAGACUGCUCGAGCUUCUUUUGGAGAUUAAAGCUCAGAUUUAUGGGUUGGGAUGUGAAUUUCAAACCAUGUAGAAUGCUCAUAAAGCCACUUCUGUUUCUUUGCACGACCAAGUACAAGCUCUUAAUCUUCAAGUUUAAGCAAAUGCAAAGGGUGAAGAUUUAGAACAAUUGAAGGAGGAUCUGCGGAAGCUAGAGGAGACUGUUAAGUCUAUGGGGGAUUUUCAACUCGUUCACAUCCCCAAGCAAUCUUGAUUUUAUCCACUUCUUUUUAUGUUCUCCACUUUUUACUGUUGACAAAAAUGGGGAGAAAGUUUGUGUAGAUUUGACUAUUGGUUUGGACUUUUGGACUUAUCUUUUGGUUGUGGAUUGGACUUGUUGACUGUUUGAUUUGAUCUAUGUAAUCUUGUUUGAUCUUUUGAUUCUUACAGUAACUUAGGCUAUGACAAUGAUUAUGGAAGGAUAAUUAUUUUGCAGGACUAACGUGUUUUUGUGGUUGCAGAAUCAUUACUAUCAUUGUCCUAAUCUACUCACUUGUUAUGAGAUAUCUUGUUUUGCUAAAGUUUUGUUUGCAGGUCAAAAGCAUUCAAAUUUGCAAAAAAGUUUUGUCACCAUAAAAAUGGGGAGAUUAUUGGAGAAAACUCUCUUAUUUUGAAGUUGAUAAAACGUUUUUAUCAGUCUAGUCUGAAGACUUCAAGACUCAAUUAUUAAAGUCUGAUAAACUCCAGACUCUGUCGUCAAAGUCUGAAGAUCGCAAGACUCAAGACUUAAAGUCUACCCUCACUGACAGUUUCUUGACCAACGAAGAGAAGACUUAUCCAAAUGCGAGUUUAUCUUUAAGGAUUCAGUUCGUACGGUUUAAAGAAGAUCUUACAGCUAGAGAUAGCACCUUAUGAUCAAUUAUUUUUAUUGGAAUUAAUUCGGAUAAUCAAGAUCUUUUGAAAGGUGAAGUAUACUUGGAAGGUUUUACUUAUGGAAACCUAAAUCAUAAUUGUAUGGACGAGCAUGAUUGGUGGGUUAUCAUCACAUUCCUUAAACGACUCGAGAUUUCCUUGAUUGAUUUUGUCCAACGGGUAGAUUGGAAGAACUUUUUUGGAAAGUGCCAACGGAUAUAGAGGCAUGAAUGAGUAUAUAAGGAAUAUGCUAGAUUUGAAGAAAUUUUUUGGAAAGUGCCAACGGAUAUAGAGGCAUAAAUGAGUAUAUAAGGAAUACGCUCAAGUUGUUCGAGUGUGUGCAUAAAAGAAAAUUUUCAAAAUCUGAAAUUCUUAGUUCUUUGCUUUCUCAAUUGUUGAGCUUAAGUUGUACUCAAAAUAGAGAUUAAAUACUUGUAAGACCUUGAGAAAGUGUAGUAGAGUCUCUACACUGUGGAAUCAAGGACAUGAGACUGUAAAAAUCUCUUCUGGUUCAUAGUAAAAUCUAGCUGGUGGGCUGUCAGUGUGAGUGGUCGUAGGCUCCCUAUAAUCCUUACUUUAAAUUCGUAGCUUUAUCUAAAUGCUUAUAGUCUUUUACCUAUUCAAUCUGUUAUUCUUGAAAGACGAGUUAACUUGUUGAAAGUUUAGCAAAAAUUUGCCAGAACACCUAUUCACCCCAUUUAGGUGUCCUUACUAGCCCUAUCAGUUUGCACUCAUAGCACGUGGUCUGGCCGUCAAUGGGCAGGAGUAGAUCAUAGGAGCAACAGCUUCUUCGCGGUGACUCAGGAAAGCAGUGGACUGUCGUGGUAAUUGGGCCGAAGCUUUAUUCGUGUUGGGAAUGACUGAUCCCCGAAAAACCGGAUUCGACACUAAAUCGAACCCCUAAAACGAAUGCGGAAGCGAAGCCCGGGAAAACACGUAUCACCGAUCGUAAAGCACACCACGGAGUCGAGCGUACCUUGUUAGCCACAGAUUAGACACCAAUGCCGAUUGAGGAAGAAAAUCCGGUCGAAUUCGAUCCGAUGAAGCCUUGAAGGGAAGAAUUAGAAGCCGUAUGCCUACUGUUCCUUUUGAGAGAGAAAACACGCGAGAGAGAAAAGACGUGCGUAAUUUCUAAUUCCAACAGACGUCUUCUCUCUCUCUCUCUCUCUCCCUUUUAUACCUCCCCCCAUCCACGGGCCAUAUUCCCGUGGGCCGGGCUCUCUUGGCCCAACUUGGGCGGACGGGCCUUAAGCCCAAAUUAAAUAAAGCCUUCAUCUCCCACUCGCACAUGGUGGGCCGAACAAUAUUCUCUUUACCUCUCUUCAACAUUCAUACCGGUGAAUAAUCCGUGCGACCAGCAUACUUUGAGAGCUCGUUGCCAUACAUCUGUUAGGAAUAUAUAGCAGCUCAUAAUGGGCAUCACACUCCGAGUAGAUUUAGUAUGCAGUACCCUAGAUCGAUUGAUCACAUUUAUAUCUCUCUUGAUCUCUUUCAAACAAUGAUAUAUAUAUAUAUAUAUAUAUAUAUAUAUAUAUAUUGUAUUCACAAUUAUGAUUAUCACAAAGACAGUCAUAAUUGGUUAACCGGUGAAUACAAAACUACAAUGUGAUUCUCCAAAAUCGGUCUUCCUCUUUCCUUCAAACUCUCAAUUUCAGUUCAGCUUGCUUUUCUAGAAAUGUCCCAUUAGAUCGAAUCAAACUCAUGACCAUUGGCAACAUCCUAAGAUAGCAAACACUAAAUAGAAAUCUUGAGAAUAAGUAAGAGUCAUGAGGGGACUAAAAAAUUGAGGAACUCUUUUCCUCAAGAGUCUCACACGACAUAAAAAAGUUGAGAUCAAACUUUUGCCACUCUUAUUGGUCGUCUCAUGCAUACGUAGUAUGAAAUACGUAUUACGGUAUCAACUCCUUUCCCAUGGAGCGUAUGUCUACACCUUUCAAUACCGUACAGAUGAUAGUUCAGACAUACCCAAUGUCUAACUUGAGUUCACGUAUCUACUCAUUCACUAAAUUCAUCAGAACUCACAUCUGGCAUCAUAGACAAAUAAAGUAAAAUAUGUGGGGUAUUUUACUCUCGGACAUAGUAAGUAUUAUGUCCUCAUCUUAACACCCAGUUAAGGUGACAUACGUGUUUUAAGCUUGAGCUCUCGAUUAUCACCUAGAUAAUAAGCUUAAAAACAGUCUCAUCUCUAUUUAUCACACAGUAAAUAGAGGCGAUUACCCGUGUGAGUGGGCUAAUCUCAUAUCUGUCCGACAUACUUUCCUAACUUAAAGUAAUGCACUGAGCAUUAAGAUGCAUAAAGAUCAAACAAAGAUUCAUAGGCAUUAAUGAUGAAAAACAUAAAUUCAUCGUAUGUGAACACUUAGGGAAAAUUAUAAUAUUCAGUACAUUAGCCUCUACGCAGUCCUAGAGAUUUCAUAUGACCACAAAACACAUCUCUAGGUACUGGCUUUGUCAUAGGAUCUGCUACCAUUCUAUGCGUAGUAUGUACUCUAAGUUCACAUCUUUUCAUACAAUCAUAUCCAUGACAAAAUUAUACUUGGUAUCUAUAUGUUUGGUCUUGCCAUGAUAUUUUGGAUCCUUGGUGUACGCUUUUGCUGCUUGGCUAUCAUAAUUAACCAACAAUUAAUCUGCAGCACUUCCAAUAACACCUAAAUGAUCCAAAAAAUCUCUUAAGCCAAACAUCUUCUUAUACUACUGCUGAUAAUGCCACGAACUCAAUUCCCAUCGUGGACAAGGCUAUACACUUUUGUUUCUUAUUGCUCCAACACAUGGUGCCAUUAUUCGGUAAGAGAACAAACCUAGAGGUAGAUUUCCUUUUAUUUAAAUCUCCUCCCCAAUCAUCAUCAGAAUAGCCUUAGAGUCGCAGAUCCUUUCCAUAAUAACUCAGCGUAUAAUCAGCAGUCCCCUUUAGAUACCUUAGUAUUCUUUUAACGGCUUUCCAACGUGCUUGACCUGGAUUGGAUUGGUAUCUGCUCACCAUUCCAACUACAUAACAUAUGUCAGGUCUUGUACACAUCAUAGCAUACAUCAAGCUCCCAACAGCACUAGCAUAAGGAACAUGUUUCAUUUGUUCCUUUUCUUGUGGAGUCCUUGGACACAGUCUAUGGCUUAAUCCUUCACCUUUUGCAAUAGGAGUGUUUAUGGGUUUACAAUCCCAUAUCAUUCAUCUCAAAGUUGGAAGACAACCAACUUUUGACAGUAUGAAUAAACUCCAUAUUACUUCCGGCAAUUGGUAUAUCAUCAACAUAUAAUGAUAUGAUCACAAAUUGAUCCUUGGAUAUUUUGAUAUAUAUACAAUGAUCCUCAUCUAUCAUUGUAAGGUCAUAAGCUAUUAUGGCAUUAUGAAAUCGUAUAUACCAUUGUCUUGACGACUGCUUAAGGCCAUAUAUCGACCCUCAAAGUCGACAUACCUUUUCUUCUUAGCCUUUUACUAUGAAACCAACGGGUUGUUCCAUAUUUAUUUCUUCCUCUAAUUCUCUAUUGAGGAAAGCAGUCUUUACAUCCAUUUGAUGUAACUCAAGAUCCAUACCAAACACUAUUGCCAGAAUUAUGCAAAUCAAGGUAAAUCUCACUACAGGAGAGAAUGUUUCUACAUAAUCAAUUCAUUCCUGUUGAUUAUACCCCUUCGCCACAAGACGAGCCUUAUGCUUUCUAUCGAGCCAUCAGCCUUUCGCUUUAUUUUGAGAACCCACUUGUUCCCAAUAGCUCCGCGUCCCUUUUGGAAGAUCAACCAGUUCCCAGACUUGGUUUGACUUCAUUGACUCCAUCUCCUCUUUCAUUGCAUAAAUCCAUUUUUCCUUACUAGGGCAUUUAAGAGCCUCAUUAAUAUUUCUUGGCUCAUCCUCAUCUUGCGGAUCAAUCAUAAAAGUUUCCCCUUCAAUGUCAAGACGUCGACGGGGAAUACUUUGGAAACUUUUUCGCCGUAUGGGAGAUUGUACACUUAGCACAUCAUUCCCAAUUAUGCUCCCACUCGGAUUAGAUAAUAACGAUAUCAUCUCAUCAUGUGAUUGUAAUUUGAGAAUGAGUUGAAUUCAAUUAAUCACUUCUCAUAUUACUCCCACUUGGACGAACUCCACUGACAUCAUUAUUUUGAUCCAAGGUUUCAAAUAGGAAGUAAUCUUCCCCUAUUUCGCCCUUCUUAGGAAAUUCAUCCACUAAGAAUGUGACAUCCCGUGAUUCAAAAUUAAGUUAUUCUCCCACUUUCCUGCUCACCUAUGAACACAUACCCUUUCGAGUGUUCGGAGUAUCUCAUUAAAAUACUCUACUUUUAUCUGGGACUCAAUUUCCCAAACUUGUGAGAGGACAUAUGAGUAUAGGCAGCAUAACCCCAUGGCUUAAGUAAACUUAAGUCCGGUUUCUACCUAUCCAUAACUCAUAUGGAGUGGAACUAACUGAUUUGGAAGGCACCCGGUUAAGUAUUUAGGCAGCAGUUAACAACGCAUCACUCCAAGAAGUGAUAUGUAAGUUAGCAUACACCAUCAUGGACCUAACCAUUUCCAGUAGGGUUCUGUUUCUUCUCUCUGCAACACCAUUUUGUUGAGGAGUAUAUGGAAUAGACAACUAUAUUUCUAUUCCUUUUCAUCACAUUAUUUUCUGAACUCAUCAGAUAAAUAUUCUCGAUCUCGAUCGGAUCUCAAUACUUUUAUUUUCUUGUCUAAUUGAUUUUCUACCAAGUUCAUAAACCUUUUUGAAACAACUUAUGCUUCAGAUUUAUGAGAAAUCAAAUAGACACAUCCGAAUUGAGUAUAAUCAUCUAUUAAAAGUGAUGAAGUAAACAGUCUCAUGCCUUCUUCUCACAUUCAUUGAACCACAAACGUCAUAAUGGAUUAAAUGCAGAGCAACGUCAGCUCUUUUACCUUUUCCAAAUGGUUUCCUUGUCGUUUUCCCUUCUAGGCAAUGCUUACAUAUGGACAAAUCGACUUAUUCAAUAUUGCCCAACAAGCCCUCUUUGGCUAGUCUAUUCAUAUGUUGUUGGCCAAUAUGACCAAGUCAAGCAUGCCGCACAUUCACAUCAUUAUCAUAUGAAGUAGGAGACGUGAAACAAAGGAAUAACAUAUAUUGACAUCACCACAGUCAACAUUUAGUACAAUAAAACCAUCUAGAAAAUGACCACAAUUAUAGUAGUUUGUAUCCAAAUACAAAUCUAUAGCUCUAUUAUGGAAGUUCAUAUUAAAACCAAGCUUAACCAACAGCAAAACAGACACUUAAAUUUCGACGAAUCUCCAGAGCAUUUAGAACAUCAUGUAGGAACAAGUUGCGUCCACCACACAUGUUCAGUUGGCAGGUGCCAAUCCCUAUUAACCUCAGCUCUGGAGUUGUUUUCCACAUAGAUCCACUCAGUUCCAGUUGGUAUUCGUCGGAAUUCCACGAAGGAUCCCUUAUCCUUCGCUACAUCGUCUGUUGCUCCUGAAUCUACAGUCCACAAAGGAUUGGAUUCAGCCAAUAAUUCAGAACUUGACACAUAAUCAAAGUUCUCAAAUGUACAAGAGGUGUAUGCCUUCUUUGGCUCACGACAGUCGCGAGCAUAGUGACCUCUCUUGUCACAAUUGUAACAUUUCACCCUUGACAUUUUCUUCACUUGAGGACGUUUUCCUCUCUUGUGUUGGUUAACUCUUGAUUUCUUGCAAUAAGGACUUGAUCCUUUACAUUCCCACAUAUUGAACGAAUCAAUACGUUUGCGCUUCUAGCACAAAGCCCUUUCUGAGCUAGAACCAGCAUUGAAAAUAUCUAUUUUCGGCUCACAUGCCGUCAAGCGGUCCUCUACCAGCUCAAGGUGGCGCACAGCAUCCUCAAGAUCUUCCAUAACAUGGUCAAGAGCUUCUAGUGCUUCUUGCUUUUCCAGCACAUAUUGAAUCUUCAUAUUUAAUAUUUCACAAUUGUAGCCGUUCAUAUCAGCAAUUACAUUCUUAGUUGCUGAACCAUCGUUCUGAACACAUCAGACAUACAUGCACGAAUAAUUAAUGCCUAUCAUUUAUGCAUCCCUAUUUGCAUAGACCCAUUAUAUUAAUGAAUAAUUUCAAGUAAGGCUUCAGAAUCAAAAGGUCACUAUGUUUCCAAUCAUCCUCCAAAAAUCCUAACUCAAAAUUAUUAUUAAUAUAAUUGUCUUAUGCAAAUAAAUUCUAUGAAGUUACAAAAACUUCUAUUACUAUCCACAGCUAAUUACCCACAACAACCAGCAAUAGCAGAAAGCAAAUAAAAUCUUAACAUCGAAUAAAAUAACAAUGCUUUCACAUGAUACAACUAACAUAUCGAUUGCUACAUCAACAACAAUCAGGUAGUAAACAUUACAUAAUUAAUCAAAGAAAUAAAUAGGGAAUGUCACUUCUAAUCUAUCAGCCAUAAUAUCUGAGAAAUUUGAAGGCACAUUUGCCAACCAUGGAAAAACUUUUGGAGAGCUCUCAUGUCGCCACCAAGGCACAUUCACUCUGCGCCAUGUGGCGCUCAAUCUAAGGGUUGAAGUUUUGGCCAACUCAAUCCUAUAGUAUUCUCUUACAAAAGCUUCCACUAGCCCCCUGUAAUCCGGGACCACGUUGACCUCCCAUAGCCGAUCUAACACUGCUUGCCAUUCAGGUGGAAGAGUGUUCAUCAAAGCCGGCACCUUCUCAAAGUCCAGCAUAAGAUAACCAUUCCAGAUGAUUUCCUGUAUCAUCUGAUUGACCUUGACCAUAUGUGAUACUAAAUCACCAUCAAGCCACCGAUAAUCAGCUAACCCUUUCAUCAGCCUUUUCAGUCUAGCUCUUCCUUCGUCCGUUCUUGGGAUUGCAGGUAUCCUUGCAUAACGCAUCAUAGUUCCUGCAACAAAUGCAGAACUAAAAAUGGAUCACUUAUAAUCCAUAAUAAACAAAAUGGAAAAUACAUAAUUUUCCAUGAUUCAUGCAACAAAUGCGGAAUAAAAAAUGGAUUACCUACAACCCAUACAGACAUAAUUGAAAAAAGAAACAAUUUUUUUUUUUUGGGUCAACGGUCAACGGUCAAAGUCAACGGUGGUCAACGGAGGGCAAUGGUCAACGGCGGUCAACGGAGGUCGACGGUCAACGGUCGCCGGACCGGUCGGGCCGGUCGGGCCGGUCGGGCCAUUCGGGCCGGUCGGGCUGGUGGGCCCGGUUCGUGUGAACCGACGGCACGUGCCGUGCGCAUGCGCGGGCUGACGUCACGUGCCGUGCGCGUGCGCGGGCUGACGUCACGCAGACGUCAGCCGGCACGUGCCGCGCGCGUGCCGGGUCUCGCGCGGGUCGGGUCGGGUCGCCGGCCAGCGAUAACGUCGCCGUGCUGACGUCAUCGAUGACGUCACCCUAGCGGUUAUUGACCGUUGGGUGACGUCAUGCUGACGUCAGCACGCGUCGGUCCGCGGACCGGCGCGUGCCGGUUCGCCGCCGGCGCGUGUGACGCACGCGCUGGCCGAAGCCAACGCUUCGCGCGCGUGGCGCCCACGCGCAGCGGCUUGUGGCCGCGCGUGUGGGCGCGUGCGGAGUCGUCCGGCGACGCACAACAUGUCGCCGGACUCGUCUCGAUGACGCCUUUCACCCAGUGCCUUCAGAAUUUGAUUCCGACUUACUGAAGCUCAUAAAAAAGGACGUACAGUGCUCGGGUGUCGGGAUUUUCGCCCCGAUCCGUACGGCCGAAGAUUUUUCGCGAAAAAUCAAUCAAAAAAACAUCAAAUUGAUCGGGAAAACGUGAACUAGGGCUCUGAUACCAAUGUUGGGAAUGACUGAUCCCCGAAAAACCGGAUUCGACACUAAAUCGAACCCCUAAAACGAAUGUGGAAGCGAAGCCCGGGAAAACACGUAUCACCGAUCGUAAAGCACACCACGGAGUCGAGCGUACCUUGUUAGCCACAGAUUAGACACCAAUGCCGAUUGAGGAAGAAAAUCCGGUCGAAUUCGAUCCGAUGAAGCCUUGAAGAGAAGAAUUAGAAGCCGUAUGCCUACUGUUCCUUUUGAGAGAGAAAACGCACGAGAGAGAAAAGACGUGCGUAAUUUCUAAUUCCAACAGACGUCUUCUCUCUCUCUCUCUCUCCCUUUUAUACCUCCCCCCAUCCACGGGCCAUAUUCCCGUGGGCCGGGCUCUCUUGGCCCAACUUGGGCGGACGGGCCUUAAGCCCAAAUUAAAUAAAGCCUUCAAUUCGUAUGAAGAUGUCGUAGCUGUGCAGGCCUUCUCGUGAUGGGUGGCUCUUUGGUGGCUGCUCGCAACUCUGGAGUAGUAAAGCAGGAUGCGUCGGGAUGUGCAAAACCGAACAAAACCCGAGCUGCGUUUGAUGUUCAGUAAACUCGUAAAAAGGAAAGGAACAAUUUGCUACGCAUUGCUACGAAGCUUGCAGGUGCGGCACAAAUCUCCAUGGAAAGUCUUCCCGGGAUGCUAACGGUGGCGCGAAGAAGAGAUAAUAAGGUGCAAGAGCGACAGCAAAAUCCCAAUGAUUUGUUCUUUAAUAUGAGCAAACCCCUUUUUGUCUUCUUCUUGCCACCGUUCUCUCUUUUCGUCUUUCUUUCUUCCUUGGCCUUUCUAUGUGUAGAUCGUGGAAACCCAGCAAACAAGACUUGAAGGACGGCUUGAGGGCGUGGCCUUGCAAACUUGAUGAGCGAUCACCAGGAAGAAAAAGAUCGUGAACUCAAGCAUGCAUCUUUCGUCUUCAUCAUGCAGACUUUUAUAAACUACAAGAAGAAUACGAGACUUUUCUCACGAUGGUAGUCACCUCGUCUCUAUUGUGUGUCUCUCUACUUUCUUUUCUCUCAAUGUGUCUCUAUAUUAUGUGCUCCCCUCAAUGUGGCCGGUUGUAUCGAUUGUGUGGGCCCCUCUCUCUCAAGGUUUACUACUCUAUUUAUAAUAUGGCAGCCCCAAGUCGGUCGAACACGUGCUGAAUAUUCUCUUUUGAUUUUAUUUCUUCAAACUGAAUAUCAGCUCGCAAGUUUGUCAAUUUCUUCCCUUUCUUGCUGUGAAUAGAGCCAUGAGUAUAUCCAAUAAUAUUUAUUUCUUUGUCCCUAAGUUGGUGCAGCGAAUUCAUUCCCUUUUUACUCAAGCCUAUGGAUGCAUAAGAUUUCUUUGACCGUGCACUCUUUCUCGUUUUAAAACAAUAUAUAACCCUUGUUGACCAAUCCUUUUCUUGCAAUCUAUAUAUUUUAUUUGAUCAACUGUCCUUCUUUGGCAUAUUAUUGUGUAGAAAUAAUGGAGCGGAAAUAUCACACUUUUUUGCAUCUACUUGACCGAGAUUACCUCCUGUUUAUAAAGAUAUUCAUUCCUCCUCCAUGACCUUUCAUGCCCCAUUAAGAUUUUUCCCAAAUUUGUAUCGAACUUGGUCACAUUGCGGGCUAACUUAAAUAAAGCUCAAAGUCAUUUAUCUGAGUUGAUCUGCCAUCAGUCCGAUCCAAAGCAAUUGCAAAUAAAAUAAAAAUAAAAAUAAUGAAAAAAAUGUUCAUAAAACUAUAUGUUAUGCAAUUAAUUUUUUUUUGGGUUAAAAAAAUUAAUCCCUAAUUUUUUUAUGAAUAAAUGAAUAGGUUGUCAAAAUUUAGGUGUCAACAAAUCGUAGUAGUGUUUUGCUUGUAUCACCUAAAGAAAGAAGUGUAUCACAAGCACAAUGCACCAUGCCAGUACAAACCAGCACAAACCAACAAGACAAAAAAUGGAACUGGUAAUAGCUUAAACAAAAUAAACAUCAUUACCAUUGAUAUUCAAUUAUUUCUUUACAUUUUGUCAAUCUAACUAAUAGUUAAAAAAUAUUGAUGUGUGUAUUGGUUGUUCUCUGUAGAUACAAUAAGUCUCUAUUUAUCUACAUCAGGAUCUUGGUUGGAAAUAGAACCUAUUUAAUAGGUUUUUGGUAGUUAAUAGAUACAACUAUUACUAAUUAAUUGCAAUAAUAGCUAACACCAAUUAAUAGCGACACAUUCCAACACUCCCCCUCAAGUUGGCUUGAAGAUAUCUUCCAUAGACAGCUUGCUCACUAGACGGUCAAAUUGUCUUCUAUGCAGUCCCUUGGUUAGAAUGUCAACAACUUGUUCAUCACUAGAAAUAUACGGCAUACAAAUCAGUUUGCUAUCAAGUUUUUAUCUAAUGAAGUGUUUAUCAACUUCCACAUGCUUUGUUUAACUAUUAGUUAGAUUAUGAGCAAUAUACGGUAAAAAAAUAUUGAUGUUAGGUCGAGUGUGAGAUAAGUAAAUAAGUUGACCAACAAGCCUUUGAUACCUUUCUUGGUCUAUCACUUCUACAACCUUGGCUGGUUCAAGUUUCAAAUUUGGCUCCACGGGUUUCUCCGCUGUUUUACAUCCUAAUAAACCCGUCUCUUUAAGUAGAUCAAGCACAUAUUUGCAUUGGUUGUUAACAAAUAUACCCUUCUUGGAUCUCGCAAAUUUUAUUCCAAGGAAAUAUUUCAAGACAUUCAAAUCUUUAACUUCAAACUCCUCAACUAACUUCUUUCGUAAGCUUUCCAACUCAACUUUGUCAUCACCAGUCAGUAUUAUAUCAUCAACAUAGACAAUUAGAAUGUCAUGCUUACCUUCCUUCGAGUGUUUAUAGAAUAGAGUGUGAUCCCCUUGGCUUUGGUAAUAAUUGAACCUUUUAACCAGCUUCUCAAACCAUUCAAACCACGCUCUUGGAGAUUGUUUAAGUCUGUACAACAACUUUUUCAAUGUGCAAACUUUGCCUUAAUUUUCUGCAAUACUUUAGGGCAAACUCAUAAACACUUUCUCCUCCAAGUCACCAUUCAAGAACGCAUUCUUCACGUCUAACUGGAGUAAGGGCCAAUCAAGAAUAGCAGCCAAAGAUAGUAAAAUCGAAAUAGAAUUUAUCUUAGCAACCGGGGCAAAGGUCUCCUAAUAGUCAAUUCCAUAAGUCUGAGUGAACCCAUUUGCCACUAGCCUUGCUUUAGACCGAUCAACACUCCCAUCAAGUUUAUAUUUUACAGUAAAUACCCAUUUAUAGUCAACAAUCUUUUUUCCUUCAGGUGCAUCAACCAAUUUUGAGGUGCCAUUCUUCAUAAGUGCCCCCAUUUCAUCCUCAACCACUAUCUUCCACUUUGGAUCCUUCAAAGCUUCCUGGAUAUUUCUAGGAAUAAAUAUGUGAGACAAGUUUGACACAAACACUUUAUGAUGAUGAGACAACAUUUCAUAUGGCACAUGUUUUGAUAUAGGAUGCUGAGUACAUGAUCUAACCCAUUUUCUAAGAGCUAUAGGCAUAUCAAGAUUCGAAGUAUUAGAAUCAGAAUUUUUUCAUUUUUUUUCAAUUUGAUAUAUCUAUUAACAAUUUCUUUUUAGUAGGUAAUAAUAUCUUUUACUUGUAAUUAUCUAUAUUUUGGAAUCUAAUUUAUUUUUUCUUUCAUCAUAUUCAAGAAAAUUGAUUGUAAGGGCCCUUUUAUGAUUUUGUUUCUCAAUUUGAGUUUGCAAUAAGGAAACUUAACCAAAAAAAAAAAAGAUUAUGAAAUGGAAUUCAUCAAAAGUUGUUUAUGGUCCAUGUUUGACUGUCACUUUGUCAUUUCACGAAGGACGGUCAUUUGAACAGGACCCAUUUUUAUAAAGAAAGUGUGAAAAAAGUUUUAAAUCUAUUACAUAUGAGUCAAUCUAUUCAUAAAUCUUUUAAUAAUGCCAAUUUAGUCCUAAAAUUUUUGAGUUGAUGCUAAUUUAGUCAUAAACCUUUUAAUGAUGCCAACUGAGUCAUAAACAUUUUAAACUAAUGCCAAUUUAGUUAUAAACAUCUCGAUUUGGUGCCAAUUUAGUUAUUCUAGUUAAUUUUGACUGGAUAUUGCUGAUGUAGAUGUCGGCUUGUUUACGUGGUAUCGUUGAUGUUGAGGUAGGUAAUAUUUAAUAAUAUUUUAUUUUUAUUAUUUUUCUAUUUUUUUCUUUCUUGCUUUCUCUCCUUUCUUCUUCACUUUGCCAGUGAUCAGCCACCGACCAUAGGCAAUGGCCAGCCAUAGGCCAUGGCCGAGUGGGCUUGGCUAUGGCAAGGCUAGGCCUCGGCAAGGCUAGCCUUAGCCUUGUCGAAUCUAGCCUGAGCAAGGGCUGCCCCAAUAAGGGUUUUCCUCACCAAAUUUGGCUUGGGGAGGACAACCCUUGCUUGGGCGAGGGCAAGCCCCAACGAGGGCUCCCCUCACCAAAUCCGGCAACGCUUGACAAGGCUGACCCUCGCUCGACUCCCUAAGGCUAUCCUUGCCCAGGCGAGGAUUGACCUCACCCGAGCCGAAUCCAGCAAGCUUGACCCUCGUUGGGGCUCAGCCUCACCAUGGCUAGGUGAGGCUAGCCAACUCGGCUGCAGCUAGUGGCCGGCCAUCGCCUUUGGCCAGUGGCCGGUCACUAGCAAAGUGAAGAAGAAGAAGAAGAAGAAGAAAAGAGAUGGUCGGAAAAAAAAAUCAGAAAAAAGGAAUAAGAUUAGAAAAAUAAAAAUAAAAUCGAAAAAUUAUUAAAAUAUUAUCAAAAAUUGUUUACGUCAGUAUGGACAAUGCUACCGGCAUUUACAUCAGUAAUUAAAAUGUUUAAGACUAAAUUAGUAUCUAUGUAACACGUUUAAGAAUUUUUUGAUAAUUCCCUAUUUUUAUGUAUCUUGAAACCGUAGUACUUUAAGUUUUUUCUUUUUUUUGGUAAAUGGUAAGAAUAAAUAGUACUUUAAAUUUAUUGGGAGGACUUCCGGCUAAAUUUUUUUUCCAAGGGUGCAGUUGAUUGCUGUCUACAAAGCCACCCGAAAAUGGGGAUGGUAGCACAUCCAGAGAGACGAAACGUCCAAGUACACUUCAAGAGAGAUAUUAUUUCACCCAUAAAAGAAAGAAUUUUAUUUGCAUGGGGGAGAAUCAAAGCACAAUCUCCAAGAUGAUAUUCCACCAUCGCACGUCAUUCUGAUUGACAUUUAGGGAACAAGAAAAAUUGAUCAAGCACGUGCGACCUUGCGCGUGGCACGUCAAUUCGCCGAUCAUAUGCUGCAAAACCUAAAUGACGACUAGAAAGAAAGACUCAUCAAAAGACGAACGAUGACGGACGACGACCUACAAAGUCCAGCGUAUUUCACUCGCGCUUCCACGAUUCAAUGAGUUUGGCCAACGCCAACCGAGAUGACCCACCGGGGCUCAGCGCAGCCUCGGCUUCUUCCUUCAUGGCAAGCACUCGCUCUCUCACGGUCUCGCCCUCCUCCCUCUCCAUCAACUCUCCGACUCGCUUCUCCACUUCCUCCGAACUCACCAGCCCGUCCUCUGACUCGUCCACCGGCAGGGCGAUUUUCAUCUCCUGCACCAGCACCACCUUGUUGUGCCCCUGCUCCGCGUACAGUGGCCACGCCAGCAUCGGCACGCCGGCGCGCACAGCCUCAAGCACCGAGUUCCACCCGCAGUGAGUCACGAACCCGCCCACCGAGGGGUGGCUCAACACCGCCACCUGCGGGGCCCAUUUCUUGACCACGAGCCCCCUCUCUUUGGUACGUUCCAAAAAGCCCUCCGGAAGCAGGGAGCCCAAGUCCAGGUCGGCCACCGUCGACGACGUAGCGGCCUUUUGGUUCUUGUCAUUUGUCGGGUCACGGACCACCCACAAGAACCGGUGACCGCUCCUCUCCAGCCCCAACGCUAUUUCCUUCAGUUGUUCCACCGUGAACACGCCCAAGCUCCCGAAACACAGGAACGCAACGCUCCCUCUAGGCUGCGAGUCCAGCCACGUCAGAGACUUUGGCGAUCUGCCAUCGUCGUGUCCGCUGCUAGAGGUCAGUGGUCCGAUGCAAUAAAGUGGCGGAGUGGACCCGUUCGGCACACAUUCGCCAUCCACAAUGGCUCGUAUAGUUCUUGGCUCGAGCUUCUCGAAGGUGUUGACUAUGAUCCCAGUCGAAGUCUGCAUCUUCAGAGAUGAAUCCAAGAAGCCCUUGUAGGCCUCGUCGUAGCGAUCUUGCAAUGGCUUGCAAACAUUGGAGGGCGGUAUCGACGGUGUGCCGGGGACAUCUAUGGAGGCAUCGAAGUCUUUAAUGCUUUUGUCGAACUUGUCGUGAAGAGUUGGGGUGUAGAGGAAGAAGUUGAGGAAACAGGCGCCAGAAGUGAAGAAAUAGUAGCAGGGGAUUUUGAGCUCAUGCGCAACGGCGACGGCUGGGGCGCAGAAGAAGUCGAUGAUGAAGCCGUUAAUCAUGUGGUUUUCAGAGAUAGAGGUGAGGGCAUGGUGGACGUUGGGGUUGUUGAGGCGGAGGAGCUCAAAGGCGAGGGUCGUGUGGUGGGGGGAGGUGGUGGAGAAUUCUGGAGGGAGGGUGGUUGCAUGGAAGAAGUGGAAGACGAUGGAGGGGGCGGUGGCGGAGACAGAGGUGAUGUAGGCGGUGGUGGAGCCGGCGUCAUAAGCUUGGUUGGUGAUGAGGAUGUGAAUGGAGAGGGAAGGGCGGUAGGUGAGGAGGAGCUUGCCGAGCUCCACAAUGGAGAUG